RNAcentral lists this long non-coding RNA (266 nucleotides) under Hordeum vulgare. Its description in RNAcentral is "long non-coding RNA (HVUL_LNC015053)". Lineage: Eukaryota; Viridiplantae; Streptophyta; Magnoliopsida; Poales; Poaceae. The record is from RNAcentral.
CGCCACCACGGCUGACAUCGCCGUGGACAUAUGACCGCCAACAGCAGGCUCUGCACGGUGCACUCUGGUUCGUGUCGGACGUCGUCGUAGCUACUUACUAGCUAGUAGAGUAUAGUUUCCCGUGUUGUGCUUGUGCGAUGCCGAGCAUGUGGCGAGGCGCCAUGAAUCAGGCUGCUACCACUAGUAGUUGUUAGUGGCGCUGUCUGGCUAGGUGUCGUUUAUUUUCUCUCUUCUCUUCUCUCUUUGUUAUGCAUUGUGUGUUUGUA